CCCGCCACUAUACCUGCCUUGAAUUCAGUGGCUGGUGUGUUCCAGUGGUGAGCUGAGAGUGGCCCCGGCCCAGGAAGCAGUGCUCUUCUGGCUGUGGGGAGGUCUGUGCCGAAAGGCUGGGAACAAAG
This 128-nucleotide small nucleolar RNA is filed under the name Numida meleagris (helmeted guineafowl). Its description in RNAcentral is "Small nucleolar RNA SNORA65 (ENSNMEG00000001392.1)". It matches the Rfam family "Small nucleolar RNA SNORA65". From Rfam's summary of the family: U65 belongs to the H/ACA class of snoRNAs which are thought to guide the sites of modification of uridines to pseudouridines. Lineage: Eukaryota; Metazoa; Chordata; Aves; Galliformes; Numididae. The record is from RNAcentral.